Molecule: long non-coding RNA, 217 nt
Filed under: Homo sapiens (human)
Lineage: Eukaryota; Metazoa; Chordata; Mammalia; Primates; Hominidae
Description: HSALNT0270551
Source: RNAcentral
AGCUCCUGGGGCACUCUGGAGUAUCACAACGCCAUGGUGGUGGGAACGGAAGAGGCGGAGGAUGGCUCGGCGGGUGUCCGUGUGCUUUACCUGUACCCCACUCACAAGUCUCUGAAGCCGUGCCCGUUCUUCCUGGAGGGAAAGUGCCGCUUUAAGGAGAACUGCAGAUGGAGUCUCACUCUAUAGCCUAGGCUGGAGUGCAAUGGCUUGAUCUUGG